GAGAUUAUCGACCCGGACCGAGACAGAGACCUAAUGACACAAUCCAAAUAUCUGUAGGUCGUUUGUCCUUCAUGGAUGUUAGACUGGAUGAAGCCACAAACACCAUUGACAUUCUGUGCAGUUUUCCCCUCUCCUGGGAAGACAGCCGGUUGACGAGAGACUGGAGAAAAGACUAUGAUUUUUCCGUGCCAACCGUAGUGCCCAUUCGUUUUCUGUGGACACCGGACAUCAUCAACUACAGUCC
Non-coding RNA from Penaeus vannamei (Pacific white shrimp), 244 nucleotides. The record is from RefSeq and is a predicted model, not a curated record. Lineage: Eukaryota; Metazoa; Arthropoda; Malacostraca; Decapoda; Penaeidae.